Long non-coding RNA from Bactrocera latifrons, 597 nucleotides. RefSeq lists it as uncharacterized. The transcript has 3 exons. NCBI's taxonomy places the organism in Eukaryota, Metazoa, Arthropoda, Insecta, Diptera, Tephritidae. The record is from RefSeq and is a predicted model, not a curated record.
UUUACAUUUUUCUGUGUUAAAUGGAAAGUGAAGCUUUAACAUUUGAAGUUCCAAGCAAACGUAAUUGUGUAACUUUAAUAAUUUCAGCAAAAAAAUGCAUAACCACUGAAUAGACAGACAGAAUAAAUAGAUCGCAUGGAGCAAAGCGAACGUACCAAAGAGAACAUGAAAAUAAGACUAGCUUUUGCGAAGAAUCCCCAGCUAAAGCAACCACCAUUACAAGAAUUAAAUCCACGAAAGCAAUUUUGAACAUUAGUUAUGGCAUGGAGUCGCCACUUUGUCAAUUUUUGUUUCAUUCCAUUCGGUUAGGCCACUUGCAUAUGUUGAAGCAAAAUGACUGCCACUAUUUGCAGUGACAUUUAACAGAACAUUUGAAGUAAAAUUAACGCGGUGUGUCAUCACCGGGUUGGAUUUUUCAACAGGGUAAUGAGCCAAGGUCGUUAACGAGCAAAAAUACCACAGGCCAAUGUAUCCCACUGAUUCGAAUAAAUUGCAAAUCCUGCAGGAAAGGUGGCUUAUCAGUUAGAGAAUUUUCGGGACAUAGAAGUUUUCAUUAAAAUAUACAAUUUUUUCAAAAAAUUUUUUCUAUACAUUUUU